UACGUAGGAGGCGAGCGUUGUCCGGAUUUACUGGGCGUAAAGCGCGCGCAGGCGGCACACUAAGUACGAUGUGAAAUCUCCCUGCUCAACGGGGAGGGUGCAUAGUAAACUGGUGAGCUAGAGGACGGUAGAGGGGGGUGGAAUUGCUGGUGUAGCGGUGAAAUGCGUAGAUAUCGGGAGGAACACCAGUGGCGAAGGCGGUUGCCUGGAGCUUUGCUGACGCUGAGGCGCGAAAGCGUGGGGAGCGAUCCGG
Molecule: ribosomal RNA, 253 nt
Filed under: uncultured bacterium
Lineage: Bacteria
Description: partial 16S ribosomal RNA
Rfam family: Bacterial small subunit ribosomal RNA
Source: RNAcentral